Hypanus sabinus (Atlantic stingray) is the source of this 512-nucleotide long non-coding RNA. RefSeq lists it as uncharacterized. The transcript has 2 exons. NCBI's taxonomy places the organism in Eukaryota, Metazoa, Chordata, Chondrichthyes, Myliobatiformes, Dasyatidae. The record is from RefSeq and is a predicted model, not a curated record.
AGGCCCGGUCCGGCCCCGUGGGAGGAACCCAAACCGUCGCGCAGUUUCUUUUCCACCGCGCCCCUCCCCUUCACCUUUCCCCGCAGGUCGGUCCUCUACGCCGCGAAGCCCGUCCUUCAGCCGCCUCUUCUACCUGCGUUGUGAUCCAGCGUUUCUCCUCCAGCAGCCCCGCCAAAGGCAUGGCUUCCAGAACAGAGAGCCGGGCAAGGGGCGACAGGAGGGGGUCGGGACGGAGCCUCAGACUGUGAACUCGGAAGCUCAAUAACAUUUAGGGGGCACUACAUCAAGGACGCAACAUCAAAGACCUUCACCAUCUGGGCCAUGCCAUCUUUUCACAACAACCAUCAAGCAGGAGGUACAGAAGUCUGAAGUCCCGCACUACUAGAUUCAAGAACAGCUACUUCCCUUCAACCACUCAAUUCUUGAACCAACCUACAAAAUCCUAUUCGUUACAGUUUAACAACAUGGUGAUCUCUUUGGACUAAAAUAAAUUUAUUUAGUUUUUAAUUAUG